GUAGGUGAACCUGCGGAAGGAUCAUUACCGAAUUGUCAAACGGGUUGUUGCUGGUCCUCAAACGGGGACAUGUGCACGCUCUGUUUACACAUCCACUCACACCUGUGCACCCUCCGUAGUUCUAUGGUCUGGGGGACCCCGUCUUCCUGCCGUGGUUCUGCGUCUUUACACACACGCUGUAACAAAGUCUUAUGGAAUGUAUGCCGCGUCUAACGCAAUACAAUACAACUUUCAGCAACGGAUCUCUUGG
Molecule: unclassified non-coding RNA, 250 nt
Filed under: plant metagenome
Description: partial contains small subunit ribosomal RNA, internal transcribed spacer 1, and 5.8S ribosomal RNA
Source: RNAcentral